Molecule: ribosomal RNA, 253 nt
Filed under: uncultured bacterium
Lineage: Bacteria
Description: partial 16S ribosomal RNA
Rfam family: Bacterial small subunit ribosomal RNA
Source: RNAcentral
UACGGGGGGGGCAAGCGUUGUUCGGAAUUACUGGGCGUAAAGGGCUCGUAGGCGGCCAACUAAGUCAGACGUGAAAUCCCCAGGCUCAACCUGGGAACUGCGUCUGAUACUGGAUGGCUUGAAUCCGGGAGAGGGAUGCAGAAUUCCAGGUGUAGCGGUGAAAUGCGUAGAUAUCGGGAGGAACAUCAGUGGCGAAGGCGGCUACCUGGCCCAAUACUGACACUCAGGUGCGACAGCGUGGGGAGCAAACAGG